GACGAACGCUGGCGGCGUGCUUAACACAUGCAAGUCGAACGGAAAGGCCCUGCUUUUGUGGGGUGCUCGAGUGGCGAACGGGUGAGUAACACGUGAGUAACCUGCCCUUGACUUUGGGAUAACUUCAGGAAACUGGGGCUAAUACCGGAUAGGAGCUCCUGCUGCAUGGUGGGGGUUGGAAAGUUUCGGCGGUUGGGGAUGGACUCGCGGCUUAUCCGCUUGUUGGUGGGGUAGUGGCUUACCAAGGCUUUGACGGGUAGCCGGCCUGAGAGGGUUACCGGCCACAUUGGGACUGCGAUACGGCCCAGACUCCUACGGGAGGCAGCAGGGGGGAAUAUUGCACAAUGGGCGGAAGCCUGAUGCAGCAACGCCGCGUGCGGGAUGACGGCCUUCGGGUUGUAAACCGCUGUCGCCUGUGACGAAGCGUGAGUGACGGUAAUGGGUAAAGAAGCACCGGCUAACUACGUG
Molecule: ribosomal RNA, 468 nt
Filed under: uncultured bacterium
Lineage: Bacteria
Description: partial 16S ribosomal RNA
Rfam family: Bacterial small subunit ribosomal RNA
Source: RNAcentral